CGGACGGGUGAGUAACGCGUGGAAAACCUGCCGUAUACUGGGGGAUAACACUUAGAAAUAGGUGCUAAUACCGCAUAAGCGCACAGCUUCACAUGAAGCGGUGUGAAAAACUCUGGUGGUAUACGAUGGUUCCGCGUCUGAUUAGCUAGUUGGUGGGGUAAUGGCCUACCAAGGCAACGAUCAGUAGCCGGCCUGAGAGGGUGAACGGCCACAUUGGGACUGAGACACGGCCCAAACUCCUACGGGAGGCAGCAG
This 255-nucleotide ribosomal RNA is filed under the name uncultured bacterium. RNAcentral describes it as "partial 16S ribosomal RNA". It matches the Rfam family "Bacterial small subunit ribosomal RNA", at positions 99 to 354 of the family's 1533-position model. The record is from RNAcentral.